This 434-nucleotide ribosomal RNA is filed under the name uncultured Lachnospiraceae bacterium. RNAcentral's name for it is "partial 16S ribosomal RNA". It matches the Rfam family "Bacterial small subunit ribosomal RNA", at positions 341 to 792 of the family's 1533-position model. Lineage: Bacteria; Bacillati; Bacillota; Clostridia; Lachnospirales; Lachnospiraceae. The record is from RNAcentral.
ACGGGAGGCAGCAGUAGGGACUAUUGCACAAUGGGGGAAACCCUGAUGCAGCGACGCCGCGUGAGUGAUGAAGUAUUUCGGUACGUAAAGCUCUAUCAGCAGGGAAGAUAAUGACGGUAACUGACUAAGAAGCCCCGGCUAACUACGUGACAGCAGCCGCGGUAAUACGUAGGGGGAAAGCGUUAUCCGGAUUUACUGGGUGUAAAGGGAGUGUAGGUGGUCAGGCAAGUCAGAUGUGAAAGCCCGCGGCUCAGCCGCGGGACUGCAUUUGAAACUGUCUGACUGGAGUGCAGGAGAGGAAAGUGGAAUUCCUAGUGUAGCGGUGAAAUGCGUAGAUAUUAGGAGGAACACCAGUGGCGAAGGCGGCUUUCUGGACUGUAACUGACACUGAGGCUCGAAAGCGUGGGGAGCAAACAGGAUUAGAUACCCUGGUA